UUAUAUUUUAUUUAUUAAUUAUUUUUUUUUUUAUUAUAAAUUAUUAAAAAUAAUUAUUAUGAGAUUUGUUUAAGUAUUUUAUAAAGAAAAAAUAAUUUUAAUUAUAGUUAAAUAGUAUUGUGAAAGAAAAUUGAAAUAAUUUGAAAAAUAAAUAUUUAAAAAGAAAAUUUAAUUUAUUGUACCUUGUGUAUCAGGGUUUAUUAAAUAAAAAUUAUUUAUUAUAAUUUUCUCGAUUUUAAAAGAGUUAAUAUAUUAUAAAAGUUAAUGUGAUAAAAUUAUUUUAUAUAAUAUAUUGGAAAUGAAAUGUUAUUCGUUUUUAAAGGUAUCUAGUUCUUUAAGAAAUAAAUUUAAUUUAGAAAUUUUAUAUUAUUUAAUUAAAUGUAUUAAUUAAAUAAUUAUUUUAUUUUAAUAUUUUGUGGGAUAAGCUAUGAAAUAAAUUAUUAAAAAUUAUUAAAUAAUUUAAUAAAUGUAAGCUUAGAAAUAGCUAUUAUUAAUGAAAUUGUUAUAAUUUAUUUUAUUAUAUUGAUUAUUUAUUUAAUUUUAAUUAUGUAUUAAAGUAUUUAUUUUAAUUAUAAAAAUAAAAAAAUAAUGAUAAAAUUAGUAUAUUAUAUUGUAUAAAUAUAAUUAAUUGAUAAGUUUUUAUAAAGAACUCGGCAAAAAUAAUGUUCGCCUGUUUAACAAAAACAUGUCUUUUUGAAUUUUUUUAAAAGUCUAGCCUGCCCACUGAAUAAUUUAAAUGGCCGCAGUAUACUAACUGUGCAAAGGUAGCAUAAUCAUUAGUCUUUUAAUUGAAGGCUGGUAUGAAUGGUUGGACGAGAUAUUAACUGUUUCAUAAAAAUUUAUAAUAGAAUUUUAUUUUUUAGUCAAAAAGCUAAAAUAAGAUUAAAAGACGAGAAGACCCUAUAAAUCUUUAUAUAUAUAGAUUAUUAGAAUUUUAUAGAUUUUUUUUGUUAUAAUAAUUAAUUAUAUUUUAUUGGGGUGAUAUUAAAAUUUAAUAAACUUUUAAUUUUAAAAAUCAUUAAUUUAUGAAUAAUUGAUCCGUUAAUAACGAUUAGAAAAAUAAGUUACUUUAGGGAUAACAGCGUAAUUUUUUUGGAGAGUUCAUAUCGAUAAAAAAGAUUGCGACCUCGAUGUUGGAUUAAGAUAUAAUUUUAGGUGUAGCUGCUUAAAUUUUAAGUCUGUUCGACUUUUAAAUUCUUACAUGAUCUGAGUUCAAACCGGCGUAAGCCAGGUUGGUUUCUAUCUUUAAAAAAUUAAAAUAUUUCAGUACGAAAGGACCUAAUAUUUAAUAAAUAAUUAUUUUUAUAUUGAAUAUAAAUAAUUUAU
RNAcentral lists this ribosomal RNA (1326 nucleotides) under Sarcophaga kanoi. RNAcentral's name for it is "16S ribosomal RNA". The stretch from base 1075 to 1234 matches the Rfam family "Archaeal large subunit ribosomal RNA", at positions 2544 to 2703 of the family's 2987-position model. The record is from RNAcentral. Lineage: Eukaryota; Metazoa; Arthropoda; Insecta; Diptera; Sarcophagidae.